AUAAUAAGCAUUAUCCCACAGUUCUGCCUUUUAAUGUGGCAUAGCCAUAUUUGCUUAUAAUUUUUAUUCUACACAUAUCACUGCUUCUCAGUGUGUACAUACUGGGGAAGGGGGUCAUUUUGACCCAGAAGGAUUUUUGAAUCAUCAAAUAUUUUCAAAUCGAAGGUUUUUCUAGUCUAGCUUCAUUCAGAUGAGCGUUGUGCAUCGAAGUUCAAGUCCCAAGAGAUGUUAUCAGUCGGAACGGCCGAGUGAACAAAUAUUUGUGAACCUCCUUCCAAAUGAAAUGUUCUAUAGAAGGGUGGAAGUGGUAAGAGACCGUUGAAACAGUGGUUAAGAAGGUUAUAUUUAUUUGGCCAUCAGCUCGUCUCAUGGUCUGAAGGAUGAUGAUGAUGAGGAAGAGGAGGAAGAAGAGAAGAUGAGGAACUUUUCCAAAAUAGGCAGUUUAACUCAUAAUAGACCCAAUUUCUAAAUACGAGGUUGGACUACGUCAUCUCUAAACGCAACCACUGGUCUGAAAAUAUGAGCUGUGUCAUAGAUACGGAGAACAAACAGGUGGUUGCCAAAGGAUGGGGGGAUUGGGCAAAAGAGGUGAAGGGGAUUCAGGGCCCCAAACUUCCAGUUAUAACAUAAAAAAGUCACAGAGAUAUAAUGUAAAGUCAGGGGGAAAUACAGUCAAUAUUGCAAUAACUGUGUAUGGUGGCCAAUGGUCCCCAGAUUUACAAGUGUGGGAAUCAACUCGGGUAAUGUACACAAAUGUCAAAUCACUAUACUGUACUCAAAACUCAUGUAAGCCACUACAUUCGUGGUAAACCACUAGUGUAAAACUAGUGCACACCACCACUACACUGCCGUAGUGGUUGAGUUUCAAUAAAAGUUAUGUGCAUCAACUCUAUUUCAACAAAAAAUUAAAAGUAACAAAACAAGGUAACAUUAUGAGAUUCGUUACACCUGGGCUUUAAUUUCCAAUUUUGGUUUAAUAUGUAUGACCUAACUUUAAAAAUCAGUUUACAGACAGACUAUCCUAAGGGCAAACAGUCCAACAAGACUUGCUCCAAUUCAAAGAAAAUCUUGAUAAGCAUUUUUUUUUCCUUUGUGGUUAUUAUAAAGUAUUUAAGUUUAAUUUUUUAAAAAUCCACUAUAUUUGAUUGUCAUUAUUUGAGUCAACAUGUUUCAAGUUAUGUUUCAGAGCACGGUUAGUUGAAACAGCCCAGAUCUUACUCAUCAAAAGACUUGGAAUAUUCACAGAAACUCUGUCACUCAUUAUUUCUCAGAGUUUAAAGAAGUUUAUGAACAUCACUGAGAAUAUGUCUUUUCAGUUUUGAAAGGGAAGUUAUAAUACUGACUUUGAAGUAUCUUGGCCAGUGAAAAAAACGCUACACAUAUAAGUUAUCAAGUGAAAUUAAAAGAUAAAGAAAUAAUAGCUACUAUAAAUAAAAACAUUCACAUUUGUUUAUUUGUGCUCAUUUGUCUUAAUGUUACCAAAAUUUAUUUUUAAAUGUUUUAUUUUAAGAUGUUAUGUUCCUACAUUCCUAAAUCUAUCUCCCUUUUACAUUUUGUUAGGGCUUGCAUGCUAUUUCUUUUUUUUUUUUUAAUUAAAGUAUAGUUGAUUGAC
RNAcentral lists this long non-coding RNA (1612 nucleotides) under Sus scrofa (pig). Its description in RNAcentral is "lncRNA (ENSSSCG00060032649.1)". Lineage: Eukaryota; Metazoa; Chordata; Mammalia; Artiodactyla; Suidae. The record is from RNAcentral.